Molecule: RNase P RNA, 412 nt
Filed under: Streptomyces mimosae
Lineage: Bacteria; Bacillati; Actinomycetota; Actinomycetes; Kitasatosporales; Streptomycetaceae
Also listed under: 1 other name
Description: Streptomyces sp. 3MP-10 RNase P RNA component class A
Rfam family: Bacterial RNase P class A
About the family: Ribonuclease P (RNase P) is a ubiquitous endoribonuclease, found in archaea, bacteria and eukarya as well as chloroplasts and mitochondria. Its best characterised activity is the generation of mature 5'-ends of tRNAs by cleaving the 5'-leader elements of precursor-tRNAs. Cellular RNase Ps are ribonucleoproteins.
Source: RNAcentral
CGAGCCGGCCGGGCGGUCGCGUUGGGCACUCUUCGGAGGGCCCGCCGAGGAACGUCCGGGCUCCACAGGGCAGGGUGGUAGGUAACGCCUACCUGGGGUGACCCACGGGACAGUGCCACAGAAAACAGACCGCCGGGACCGCGCGAGCGGGACCCGGUAAGGGUGAAACGGUGGUGUAAGAGACCACCAGCGCCCAGGGUGACCUGGGCGGCUCGGUAAACCCCACCCGGAGCAAGGUCAAGAAGGGGCCGUCCUCGGACGACCCCGCGUGAACGCCUGAGGGCUGCCCGCCCGAGUUCACGGGUAGACCGCUUGAGGGUGAUGGCGACAUCACCCCUAGAUGGAUGACCGCCACCCGGAGCGCCCCACGGCGCCCCGGGCACAGAACCCGGCGUACAGGCCGCCUCGUCCG